This 397-nucleotide ribosomal RNA is filed under the name uncultured bacterium. RNAcentral's name for it is "bacterial SSU rRNA". It matches the Rfam family "Bacterial small subunit ribosomal RNA", at positions 29 to 426 of the family's 1533-position model. The record is from RNAcentral.
AACAAACGCUGGCGGCGUGCCUAAUACAUGCAAGUCGAACGGGGAAAGUAGCAAUAUGAGUACUAGUGGCGCACGGGUGAGUAACGCGUGGGUAAUCUUCCUUGACGCGUGGGAUAACCAGUCGAAAAGAUUGGCUAAUACCACAUAAGACCACAGGAUCUGCGGAUCUAGGGGUCAAAGGUUUUUCGCUUUAAGAUGAGCCCGCGUAGGAUUAGCUAGUUGGUAGGGUAACGGCCUACCAAGGCAACGAUCUUUAACUGGUCUUAGAGGAUGAUCAGUCACACUGGAACUGAGACACGGUCCAGACUCCUACGGAGGCAGCAGUAGGGAAUAUUGCACAAUGGAGGAAACUCUGAUGCAGCGACGCCGCGUGAGUGAUGAACGGACUUCGGUUCGU